This 669-nucleotide small RNA is filed under the name Pongo abelii (Sumatran orangutan). RNAcentral's name for it is "retained intron". The record is from RNAcentral. Lineage: Eukaryota; Metazoa; Chordata; Mammalia; Primates; Hominidae.
UGCAUUUGUGACCUUCAGUUCCUUCCAGAGGAGGUUCCCUGAGGUAUCUGGGUAUUGCCACUGUGCUGACAGCCAAGGGCGGGAACUGGCUGAGACAGGUUUGGAGUUGUUACUGGAUGAAAUUUAUGACACCAUUUUUGCUGGCCUGGACCUUCCUUCCACCUUCACUGAAACCACCCUGUACCGGAUACUGCAGAGACGGUUCCUCGCAGUUCAAUCACUCAUCUCUGGCAGAUUCCGAUGCCCCACAAAAUGUGAAGUGGAGCGGUUUACGGCAACCAGCUUUGGUCACCCCUAUGUUCCAAGCUGCCACCAAAAUGGAGACUAUCAGGCGGUGCAGUGCCAGAUGGAAGGGCCCUGCUGGUGUGUGGACGCCCAGGGAAAGGAAAUGCAUGGAACCCGGCAGCAAGGGGAGCCGCCAUCUUGUGGUGGGUUUCCUCUGGGGGCUUCCUCUUUCGGCCUCGGAUCAUAUUACUUUAGCGGUCCUCCAGACCAACCUCUCUGAACCCCAUUAAUUCAACUGCCUUCUGGUGUGCCCCACUGGCCCUUCAAGCUCAACCUGUCUGAGAACCAGUUUAUCAUCAUUAACUUCCAACAUGUUUCUCAUCUUGUGUCAGACCUCGUUGCAUUUUCAGGGAGCUCAGGGAAUAUUAGGGGGCUCAUAGAUGA